This 264-nucleotide ribosomal RNA is filed under the name uncultured bacterium. RNAcentral describes it as "partial 16S ribosomal RNA". It matches the Rfam family "Bacterial small subunit ribosomal RNA", at positions 793 to 1055 of the family's 1533-position model. The record is from RNAcentral.
GUCCUUGCCGUAAACGAUGUCGAUUAGGUGUUGGGGUGUCGAUCCCUCCAGCGCCGACGCUAACGCAUUAAAUCGACCACCUGGGGAGUACGGUCGCAAGACUGAAACUCAAAGAAAUUGACGGGGACCCGCACAAGCGGUGGAGCAUGUGGUUUAAUUCGAGGCUACGCGAAGAACCUUACCCAGGCUUGAAAAGCAGUUGAUAUCCCAUGAAAGUGGGCCUUCUCGCAAGAGACAAUUGUACAGGUGCUGCAUGGCUGUCGU